AUUUUGGACAAUGGGCGAAAGCCUGAUCCAGCCAUGCCGCGUGAGUGAAGAAGGCCUUCGGGUUGUAAAGCUCUUUCGGUCGGGAAGAAAUAGUUGUGGCUAAUAUCUACAAUGAAUGACGGUACCGACAUAAGAAGCACCGGCUAACUACGUGCCAGCAGCCGCGGUAAUACGUAGGGUGCAAGCGUUAAUCGGAAUUAUUGGGCGUAAAGGGUGCGCAGGCGGUUAUAUAAGUCAGAUGUGAAAUCCCUGGGCUUAACCUAGGAAUUGCGUUUGAAACUAUAUAACUAGAGUGUGACAGAGGGGAGUGGAAUUCCAUGUGUAGCAGUGAAAUGCGUAGAGAUGUGGAAGAACACCGAUGGCGAAGGCAGCUCCCUGGGUUAACACUGACGCUCAGGCACGAAAGCGUGGGGAGCAAACAGG
RNAcentral lists this ribosomal RNA (423 nucleotides) under uncultured bacterium. RNAcentral's name for it is "bacterial SSU rRNA". It matches the Rfam family "Bacterial small subunit ribosomal RNA", at positions 361 to 776 of the family's 1533-position model. The record is from RNAcentral.